AUGGGAAGGGAAGGGAAUCAGGGAAGGGAAUCAGGGAAGGGAAUCAGGGAAGGGAAUCAGGGAAGGGAAUCAGGGAAGGGAAGGGAAGGGGAGGGAAUCAGGGAAGGGAAGGGAAGGGGAGGGAAUCAGGGAAGGGAAAGGAAAGGAAGGGAAUCAGGGAUGGGAAGGGAAGGGAAGGGAAUCAGAGGGAAGGGGAAGGGGAGGGGGAAAGUGAAGAAAGGAAAGAAAGGGAGGCAACAGAAGAGAAAAGAAGGGAAGGGAAUCCAAGGGAUUCCCAAGGGAAGGGAAUCCAGGGGAUUCCCAAGGGAAGGGAAUCCAAGGGAAUCCAAAAGGUCUCAAGGGAAGGGAAUCCAAGGGAUCCCAAGGAAGGA
Molecule: long non-coding RNA, 371 nt
Filed under: Monodelphis domestica (gray short-tailed opossum)
Lineage: Eukaryota; Metazoa; Chordata; Mammalia; Didelphimorphia; Didelphidae
Description: lncRNA (ENSMODG00000037439.1)
Source: RNAcentral